AUGAGCGAUGGCGGUAUAUCCCGAUCCAGGGCUCGCACCGAAGGACUGACGAGGAGACGGAGGAGGGUGAGUCCACGUUUUCACGGUUGGGACUGGGACUUCUUUGAACCAGAACCCGGUCCCUCGGUCUCUGCCUGUCUCGGGAGCCCUCGCUGGAACCUGUGUCCCACCCGGGCGAGGAGGGCUGGGGUCCUGAGUCUGCGUUGUCUUUCCAUGAACACUCGCGGCUCGGUUCUUCUCCUUCCAGGCAUGGCGUGGAGGUGGCGUGGACAUUGUCCCUUGUGGGGAGUGGGUGUGGGGACUGAGCUCAGCGCUCUUGAUGGAAUCCUCCAACUGAACUCAUGUUUCAGGCAGAGGGAAAAUGCUGUGAGGUCCAGGAAGCUGGUGGAACACAGACAUUUCCAGUUCGCUCUCCCUCCCUCCCCUCUUCUCUUCCCCAUCUCUUUCCUUGUGUUUCUCCUGCCCCCUCCCCUCCUCUCCCCGGCAGCCCCGAGCCUGGGCUGGGGGCUCCCAAGUCUGCCGCCCCCGCCCCUCUGCGGCCUUUUUUUUUUUUUUUUUUUUUUUUUUUUGACAGGCAGAGUGGACAGUGAGAGAGAGAGAGAGAGAGAAAGGUCAUCCUUUUUGCCCUCCAAUGGCCGCUGCAGCCGGCGCACUGCAGCCGGAGCACCACGCUGAUCCAAAGGCAGGAGCCAACAUCAGACCUCAUUCUCAACCCUUCGGAUCGCUAACAGAGGCCUCUGUCACCUCAAGUGUGCUGGGGCAACGCUCACGACUGAGUCAUCCCCUCUUGUAGGGCCUGGGGUGUUGGGUCAGGCUGGUUCUUCCCUCCUUGUAGGGCCUGGGGUGUUUGGUCAGUCCCCCUUGCUGGGGGUAGGGGGAAUGCUUAUCCACCGUAGCUUAGAACUGGGAGUCUGGCCUAAGUAUGGGGAUUCUCCGUCUCCUCACAGAGGACUCAGUUGGGCGAUUCUUUCCCAGGGGCGCCCUGUGAAAGGACCCUCUUCCCUUAGACUAUAUUUUGCUUAAUCAAUGGGUUCCAAAAUUUCUCACAUUUCACCCAACUCCCCUUUGGCCUGCCUCUUAAAAGGUUUGCACAGGGGCUGGCACCGUGGCUCACUAGGCUAAUCCUCCGCCUGCAGCGCCGGCACACCGGGUUCUAGUCCCGGUUGGGGCGCCGGAUUCUGUCCCGGUUGCCCCUCUUCCAGGCCAGCUCUCUGCUGUGGCCCGGGAGUGCAGUGGAGGAUGGCCCAAGUGCUUGGGCCCUGCACCCCAUGGGAGACCAGGAGAAGCACCUGGCUCCUGGCUUCAGAUCAGUGCGGUGUGCCGGCCACAGCGGCCAUUGGAGGGUGAACCAACGGCAAAAAGGAAGACCUUUCUCUCUGUCUCUCUCACUGUCCACUCUGCCUGUCAAAUAAAAAAAAAAAAAGGUUUGUUUCA
This 1434-nucleotide long non-coding RNA is filed under the name Oryctolagus cuniculus (rabbit). RNAcentral's name for it is "lncRNA (ENSOCUG00000030774.1)". The record is from RNAcentral. Lineage: Eukaryota; Metazoa; Chordata; Mammalia; Lagomorpha; Leporidae.